Molecule: ribosomal RNA, 818 nt
Filed under: Mermithidae sp. KPMN_3RH
Lineage: Eukaryota; Metazoa; Nematoda; Enoplea; Mermithida; Mermithidae
Description: SSU rRNA
Rfam family: Eukaryotic small subunit ribosomal RNA
Source: RNAcentral
GGGUCGCGAAUGGCUCGGUACAACAGCUACGGUUUACUAGAUUUAAACUCCACUUGGAUAACUGUGGUAAUUCUAGAGCUAAUACAUGCACCUAAGCUCGGACCUCACGGAAAGAGCGCACUUAUUAGAUCAAAACCAAUCGAGUUUCGGCUCGUGGUUUGAUGACUCUGGAUAACGUAGCAGAUCGCACAGUCUAGUACUGGCGACUUAUCUUUCAAAUGUCUGCCUUAUCAACUUUCGAUGGUAGGUUAUAUGCCUACCAUGGUUAUAACGGGUAACGGAGAAUUAGGGUUCGACUCCGGAGAGGGAGCCUGAGAAAUGGCUACCACAUCCAAGGAAGGCAGCAGGCGCGCAAAUUACCCAAUCCCAGUACGGGGAGGUAGUGACGAAAAAUAACGAGACAGUCCACUUUGUGGCCUGUCAUCGGAAUGGGUACAAUUUAAAUCCUUUAACGAGGAUCCAUUAGAGGGCAAGUCUGGUGCCAGCAGCCGCGGUAAUUCCAGCUCUAAUAGCGUAUAUUAAAGUUGUUGUGGUUAAAACGCCCGUAGUUGAUUUUGCGAUUUUGACGGUCGGUAGCCCGAGAGGGUUUCACUUGGCUGGUCUUGUCUGAAUUUGGGAUUUCUGUCGAUGCUCUUUACUGAGUGUCGUUAGCGACUCUAGAAAUUACUUUGAAAAAAUUAGAGUGCUAAAAGCAAGCUUUGUGCUUGAAUAGAGUGCAUGGGAUAAUGGAAGAGGAUUUUGAUUCUGUUUUGUUGGUUUUCGGAAUUGAAAUAAUGAUUAAGAGGAACUGACGGGGGCAUUCGUAUUGUUGCGUUAGA